Long non-coding RNA from Cavia porcellus (domestic guinea pig), 321 nucleotides. RefSeq lists it as uncharacterized. The transcript has 3 exons. The record is from RefSeq and is a predicted model, not a curated record. Lineage: Eukaryota; Metazoa; Chordata; Mammalia; Rodentia; Caviidae.
GAGCAGCUCUGCGCACGCGUGGUCCGGCUCUGGGCCUCGUGCCCGGCCCAGGGCGUCUCGGCCUGGCCCCGUCGGACUCUUCACGUCGUGCACUUGUAGGACGUCGGGAGCACUGCCACUGAGGCCGCUGAGGGCCUGCUGGGCGAUGUCGUGCGAGGACAGGUCCUGCUGAGAUGUGAAUGACAUCUUCACUGGCAAUUAUUCUGAUACCUACAGUGAAACUCCUCUCCAAGUAUGAUGGCUGCUGAUACCUAGACAGAACAUUGUUUGAAGCCACAGGAAACAGUUUAACCUUCAUCUCCACCAUUUGACCCUUUCCAG